ACUCCUACGGGAGGCAGCAGUGGGAAUAUUGCACAAUGGGGGAAACCCUGAUGCAGCCAUGCCGCGUGUGUGAAGAAGGCCUUCGGGUUGUAAAGCACUUUCAGCGAGGAGGAAAAGGGUGUGUGCUAAUACCAUACAUCUGUGACGUUACUCGCAGAAGAAGCACCGGCUAACUCCGUGCCAGCAGCCGCGGUAAUACGGAGGGUGCGAGCGUUAAUCGGAAUUACUGGGCGUAAAGCGCAUGCAGGUGGUUUGUUAAGUCAGAUGUGAAAGCCCGGGGCUCAACCUCGGAAUUGCAUUUGAAACUGGCAGACUAGAGUCUUGUAGAGGGGGUGAGAAUCCAGGUGUAGCGGUGAAAUGCGUAGAGAUCUGGAGGAAUACCGGUGGCGAAGGCGGCCCCUGGCACAAAGACUGACGCUCAGGCACGAAAGCGUGGGGAGCAAACAGGAUUAGAUACCCUGGUAGGCUCU
This 470-nucleotide ribosomal RNA is filed under the name uncultured bacterium. RNAcentral describes it as "bacterial SSU rRNA". It matches the Rfam family "Bacterial small subunit ribosomal RNA", at positions 335 to 798 of the family's 1533-position model. The record is from RNAcentral.